GAGCGGAUGACGGGAGCUUGCUCCUUGAUUCAGCGGCGGACGGGUGAGUAAUGCCUAGGAAUCUGCCUGGUAGUGGGGGACAACGUUUCGAAAGGAACGCUAAUACCGCAUACGUCCUACGGGAGAAAGCAGGGGACCUUCGGGCCUCGCGCUAUCAGAUGAGCCUAGGUCGGAUUAGCUAGUUGGUGGGGUAAUGGCUCACCAAGGCGACGAUCCGUAACUGGUCUGAGAGGAUGAUCAGUCACACUGGAACUGAGACACGGUCCAGACUCCUACGGGAGGCAGCAGUGGGGAAUAUUGGACAAUGGGCGAAAGCCUGAUCCAGCCAUGCCGCGUGUGUGAAGAAGGUCUUCGGAUUGUAAAGCACUUUAACUUGGGAGGAAGGGCAGUAAGCUAAUACCUUGCUGUUUUGACGUUACCGACAGAAUAAGCACCGGCUAACUCUGUG
RNAcentral lists this ribosomal RNA (448 nucleotides) under uncultured bacterium. RNAcentral describes it as "bacterial SSU rRNA". It matches the Rfam family "Bacterial small subunit ribosomal RNA", at positions 64 to 507 of the family's 1533-position model. The record is from RNAcentral.